This 782-nucleotide ribosomal RNA is filed under the name Bacillus halotolerans. RNAcentral's name for it is "bacterial SSU rRNA". It matches the Rfam family "Bacterial small subunit ribosomal RNA", at positions 44 to 806 of the family's 1533-position model. Lineage: Bacteria; Bacillati; Bacillota; Bacilli; Caryophanales; Bacillaceae. The record is from RNAcentral.
GCUGCCUAUCACAUCGCAAGUCGAGCGGACAGAUGGGAGCUUGCUCCCUGAUGUUAGCGGCGGACGGGUGAGUAACACGUGGGUAACCUGCCUGUAAGACUGGGAUAACUCCGGGAAACCGGGGCUAAUACCGGAUGCUUGUUUGAACCGCAUGGUUCAAACAUAAAAGGUGGCUUCGGCUACCACUUACAGAUGGACCCGCGGCGCAUUAGCUAGUUGGUGAGGUAAUGGCUCACCAAGGCGACGAUGCGUAGCCGACCUGAGAGGGUGAUCGGCCACACUGGGACUGAGACACGGCCCAGACUCCUACGGGAGGCAGCAGUAGGGAAUCUUCCGCAAUGGACGAAAGUCUGACGGAGCAACGCCGCGUGAGUGAUGAAGGUUUUCGGAUCGUAAAGCUCUGUUGUUAGGGAAGAACAAGUACCGUUCGAAUAGGGCGGUACCUUGACGGUACCUAACCAGAAAGCCACGGCUAACUACGUGCCAGCAGCCGCGGUAAUACGUAGGUGGCAAGCGUUGUCCGGAAUUAUUGGGCGUAAAGGGCUCGCAGGCGGUUUCUUAAGUCUGAUGUGAAAGCCCCCGGCUCAACCGGGGAGGGUCAUUGGAAACUGGGGAACUUGAGUGCAGAAGAGGAGAGUGGAAUUCCACGUGUAGCGGUGAAAUGCGUAUAGAUGUGGAGGAACACCAGUGGCGAAGGCGACUCUCUGGUCUGUAACUGACGCUGAGGAGCGAAAGCGUGGGGAGAGAACAGGAUUACAUACCCUGGGAGUCCACGCCGUAUA